UUAUGCUCUUCUUAAAUUGGAUAAGCACCCUGGUUAUAAAGUAAGUAGCCUUUGUAGUGCUUUGACCUUUUAGUGUUUUAUUUGCUAUACACAUUCUAAGGAAAUGAGUAAGUUAUGCUAGGUUGAACCUGCAAAGCUCUCCCUUGAUCUUGCUAAGAUGACUCCAGAGAUUAAGGCACACACCAGAAGUUCUAUUUGCCCGCAAUGUAGCAAGGUUUUGAUUCCCGUAGAAGUUGUUGCUUGUUACUUUGUUAUUGUGGUUGCAGUCUAACCUUUUUUUGUUUUUUUUAUUUUGCAGAGCUCGCAGAACGGUUAAUUUUAUUGCCUUCUUUCGGCUUGCAAAGAAAGCAACUUAUCUUCAAGCAUGUCUAAUGCAUGCUCACUUUGCAAAGGAUGAGGACAUGGACGGUCUUUUGGAGUAUCAUGGGUUCUUGGUAAAAGCAUUUGGAGAACCAUACAUACAUGGUGAAAGAAGGCCUGUUUCUCAACGCUGAUACUGAAUACCCCAAAAAGUGUUCCAAACUUGUGCACAAGAAAAGGUCUGAGAGGAUAGUUGAGGAUGUUUCACCCUCAAUUCAUGCUGAAUUACUACCUCGUGAGACUAUGAAAGAGAUUCAGAUGAUUAAAGCAUACAAGCAUGAGCCCCAGACAGAUUCAGCUUCUGAAAACAAUAAUUAUGUCCAGAAGCUUGAUGAGGAAAUUCAAGAAUCUAAAGCCAUUUACUCUCCAAAGGAUAAUAAAUCAGGAAAGGCAUUUAAGGAAAUGCAAGAUAUUCAUGACAGUGAAAUUAUGAUAUGGCCAGCACUCCGUCACCAUUGAGCUUCCCCUUUGAUAACAUUAUGCCUGAACCGCAACAUACAAGAAUUGGCAGUUUGAAGAGUACAAAUUAUUUUAAGGCUUUUGAAGCUUCCCCAAGGAGAAACUCACGUGCUAAUGUGGAUGUCAGGCCAUUGGAGGUUAUACCAAAAAUAUUCCACCAGAAAGUUCAUUAGCUAAUAGUUUUUCUUUGCCACCUCCUGGUGUCCAGACUGUAUCCGAGGAUGAUUCUCUGUUUACUCACCAAGAACAUUAAGAUGAAAUUCUUGAACUUAACACUGUGUUUAUUCACCCUGAAUAUGAAGAUGAAAUUCAUGAAGUUAGAGAAAAUUGUCACGAUGAAUAAGUUGCUUAGCCCAAGCUGAAGUUGUUCUUAAGGUUUUCAUGCCUUGUUCCAAUACACAAUUUUAGGGCUUUGGCAUAUGAAUUACUCAUGAUAUGGAGGAGACGGGUGUCAAAACUAAAGAUAUUAAGGGAAGAGAGGCAAUUAGCAUCAAAUGCUGCACUUAACUCAUUACCAUUGGCCCCCUAAUUCGACAUUGUAUAGAAAAUACUGGUUACUUUGACAAGUUUGAUAUUGAUACAACGAUGAGGGAAAGAUAUGGAAAACAGGAAAACUCACGGUCAAGACUUAAUGUUUCUAAUAUAGUUGUUGACACACUAGGCAGAAGAAAUCCAGAUACUAAAUGCUUGU
Molecule: long non-coding RNA, 1510 nt
Organism: Trifolium pratense (red clover)
Lineage: Eukaryota; Viridiplantae; Streptophyta; Magnoliopsida; Fabales; Fabaceae
Exons: 4
Source: RefSeq, a predicted model, not a curated record